Molecule: transfer RNA, 57 nt
Filed under: Capra hircus (goat)
Lineage: Eukaryota; Metazoa; Chordata; Mammalia; Artiodactyla; Bovidae
Also listed under: 1 other name
Rfam family: tRNA
About the family: Transfer RNA (tRNA) molecules are approximately 80 nucleotides in length.
Source: Rfam by way of RNAcentral
UGGCUAAGAGGUUAAAGCAUCUGCCUGGAAUGUGGGAGACCCAGGUUCGAUCCCUGG